This 1630-nucleotide long non-coding RNA is filed under the name Androctonus crassicauda. Lineage: Eukaryota; Metazoa; Arthropoda; Arachnida; Scorpiones; Buthidae. The record is from RNAcentral.
UAUAAUGGCUCGCAUGUUAAACAGAACGAUUCGUUGCAGAAAAAAAAAAAAAAAAAAACAGGCAGUCUACAGAAACAAACUAAUUUCAUUUCUCAAAUUCUCGUUUAUUUGUUAUUCUAAAGCGAAAAAGUUUUUUUUAGAAUGAAUAUUUUUCUGAGGAAAGCGAGACUUGUGAGAUCGUGGCGAUGUUCCUGGAUGUUCUCGUUAAUAACUUUUCGAAAUGAUCGGUAGAUUUUCACGAAAUUUCGUAGACGUGUCCAGACGUUAAAGAUGAUGACACAUCUUUUAACCGUACAGCUUCAUCCACUUAAAAAAUCGCGAACGUUCAAACUUUUCAGGUUUCACUUAAUACACGUGAACACGAAUGCAGGAUUAGACUAUCUGAAAUGGUCCCACUUCAAAUCCUCCUUCAGAUAGAUAGCAGUUUUAAUCGCACGUCUUUAAUCACUCCAAAAUGGCUGACACGUUUAGAAAGUGGGCAAUUAAUUCUUUCCAAAAUUGCUCAUUAUGAGCAGCAAUCCUUUACUUAACAUAUAAGCAUCGUUCUGCACGUUACGCUACCUUGUCAUAAUUUAUUUAUAUUUUUUUUCUUCUUUUCACAGCAAUUUUUUUUUUUUCUGUUUCCGUUUACUCUUUCCCUCAAGAAGUGUUUUAGGCCACAACUUUUUUUUAUUUUUCUGAGACGAACUGGAUUUUUAAAGCACUCGUGGGCCGUACUUACGUCCCAGCGAAAGGUUUUCAUGUACAAUAAAUACUUAGAAUCAUUGCACUCGGCGGUGCAAUUGUUGCCGCCGGUUAAAACUACGAAUAAAAUUCAUAAAAAGAAGAGAAACUGCAACUUUAUAAAAACUCAUUUCAGUCCCAAUAAACGAUCGUUUUAGAAGACAAAACGCUAAGAUUUUAAGUGGCCAGUUUGCAGUAAUAUGAUUUUUUUUUUGUUUUCUUUGGAUAUUCGAGAAUCUGUAUAAAUAAUUGAAAAAAUUACUAAGAAGGAAUCAUUUUCGAUUAAUUAAUUACGUAUAUCUUCAACUGCUUUUUUUGCCUUUCCCUAGAAGUACUGCAACUACACUCUUUACGCAACUGCCUCCGAACAAUAUUAGGGAGUCAAUUAAUGUUGGGUGGAUGGUACAUAACUGAGUUUACCAAGAAAAUAAAAUAUUUCGCCCGGAGAAGUUGGCAAGAAUCCAUCCGAGGCCGCUGGCCUUUAGUGAUUGCAGUGUUCUAUGUUCUUCUCUCUCUCUCUCUCUCAUCCCUAACCCAUAGGCAAGACUGUGUCACCUUAAGGGAAGCAGUCAUCCCAAGGUCACCUUGCUAACCUGGAGCCUGGGGAUAAACCGGUUUCUCUCAACGUUCAAACCUGUCUGAACUGUUCUUGGCCCCAUUUGACUUACUACUAGACAUCUUGGUAGAAGUAAAGUUCAUUUUAUGCCAUCUGUCAACCAUGACUAACUUUUGAUUGUAUAUUUUUACUGUUUAAAAUUGAUCACUUCGCUUUUAAAAUCCCACACAAACGGAAUUACACUUUAUGGAUUGAUGAUGAAUCUACGUCGAACGUUUUCGCAUUUUUAUCUCCUUUUUUUUUUCUUUCUUUUCCUCCCCUUUUCGCACCAAAAAAUCUGCCUUUCUUUAC